This 468-nucleotide ribosomal RNA is filed under the name uncultured bacterium. RNAcentral describes it as "partial 16S ribosomal RNA". It matches the Rfam family "Bacterial small subunit ribosomal RNA", at positions 28 to 507 of the family's 1533-position model. The record is from RNAcentral.
GACGAACGCUGGCGGCGUGCUUAACACAUGCAAGUCGAACGGAAGGGCCCUGCUUUUGUGGGGUGCUCGAGUGGCGAACGGGUGAGUAACACGUGAGUAACCUGCCCUUGACUUUUGGAUAACUUCAGGAAACUGGGGCUAAUACCGGAUAGGAGCUCCUGCUGCAUGGUGGGGGUUGGAAAGUUUCGGCGGUUGGGGAUGGACUCGCGGCUUAUCAGCUUGUUGGUGGGGUAGUGGCUUACCAAGGCUUUGACGGGUAGCCGGCCUGAGAGGGUGACCGGCCACAUUGGGACUGAGAGACGGACCAGACUCCUACGGGAGGCAGCAGUGGGGAAUAUUGCACAAUGGGCGGAAGCCUGAUGCAGCAACGCAGCGUGCGGGAUGACGGCCUUCGGGUUGUAAACCGCUUUCGCCUGUGACGAAGCGUGAGUGACGGUAAUGGGUAAAGAAGCACCGGCUAACUACGUG